RNAcentral lists this ribosomal RNA (140 nucleotides) under uncultured eukaryote. Its description in RNAcentral is "partial 18S ribosomal RNA". It matches the Rfam family "Eukaryotic small subunit ribosomal RNA", at positions 1299 to 1458 of the family's 1831-position model. The record is from RNAcentral.
UGGUGGAGUGAUUUGUCUGGUUAAUUCCGUUAACGAACGAGACCUCGACCUGCUAAAUAGUUCGGCGAGCUCUUCUGGGUUCGUUCGCGACUUCUUAGAGGGACAAUUCAUGUUUAGUGAAGUGAAGUGAGCUCAUAACA